RNAcentral lists this long non-coding RNA (694 nucleotides) under Olea europaea subsp. europaea. The record is from RNAcentral. Lineage: Eukaryota; Viridiplantae; Streptophyta; Magnoliopsida; Lamiales; Oleaceae.
CAAUUAUCGAAGAGAUAACAGGUGAAUCAAAAUAAAUCAAAAAACAACAUCCUAGAAGAUCAUUAAGAAAUAUAAAUAUUAAAUAACAAUAUAAAAAUUGGAAAAUCCUCAUACAAAUCCUGAAAUCCACCCCACUACAUUGUCACCGGAAGUCUGGAAUUUGGAAAUACCAAUUACCAACUAUAGAAGCAAAAGAAAUUGACAAAUUGAAAGACACCAGCCAGCCUAACAAUUUUAUAUGUAACAGUGGCUCACAGUCACGCAUAAUUUUUUUUUUCAGUUUUAUGUAUAUAUAGCUAUUCAAUUUUCCAUGUUGGCACAACAUCCUGAAAAAUUCGGGUUUGAUCAUUCAAUGGGAGGGCCUACAAUUCUGUUCAGAUCAGAUGUAUUUAUAAAUAUGAAAAAAAAUUAUAUUUCUAAUAAAUAAAUUAAAAUCAGCGACUACCUAAAUAAUGGAAUUUGGCCAACAAAACCAGUCAUCUUCAAACAAGUGGCCGCCCCUUCUUCUUUAUUUUUCUUCAGAAAAAAUAAAUAAAUUGUGGGUUUGUUACCUCAAUGCAACACUUCAACAGCCAACAGGAAGAUGAAGAGGAAGUACUCGGUUGGUCGGAUAAUCAGAUUUCUUGCCGGAGCUUUUGCGGGUAGUCUUCAGGGAUUGUCCAAUGAUCAAUUGGUAGUGAAGAUUGUAUUUAAG